AGUGAACGCUGGCGGUAGGCCUAACACAUGCAAGUCGAACGGCAGCACAGUAAGAGCUUGCUCUUACGGGUGGCGAGUGGCGGACGGGUGAGGAAUACAUCGGAAUCUACUUUUUCGUGGGUGAUAACGUAGGGAAACUUACGCUAAUACCGCAUACGACCUACGGGUGAAAGCAGGGGAUCUUCGGACCUUGCGCGAUUGAAUGAGCCGAUGUCGGAUUAGCUAGUUGGCGGGGUAAAGGCCCACCAAGGCGACGAUCCGUAGCUGGUCUGAGAGGGUGAUCAGGCACAAUGGAAAUGAGAAACGGUCCAGAAUCCUACGGGAGGGAGCAGUGGGGAAUAUUGGACAAUGGGGGGAAGCCUGAUCCAGCCAUGCCGCGUGUGUGAAGAAGGGCUUCGGAGUGUAAAGCCCUUUUUGUUGGGAAAAAAAGAAGGAAGGUAAUAACCCGCUGUUUUGAAGUGACCCAAAGAAAAAGCACCGGCUAAAUUCGUG
Molecule: ribosomal RNA, 492 nt
Filed under: uncultured bacterium
Lineage: Bacteria
Description: partial 16S ribosomal RNA
Rfam family: Bacterial small subunit ribosomal RNA
Source: RNAcentral